This 472-nucleotide ribosomal RNA is filed under the name uncultured bacterium. Its description in RNAcentral is "bacterial SSU rRNA". It matches the Rfam family "Bacterial small subunit ribosomal RNA", at positions 328 to 792 of the family's 1533-position model. The record is from RNAcentral.
UGCCCAGACUCCUACGGGAGGCAGCAGUGGGGAAUAUUGCGCAAUGGGCGAAAGCCUGACGCAGCGACGCCGCGUGAGGGAUGAAGGUCUUCGGAUCGUAAACCUCUGUCAGCAGGGAAGAACGGUCACUGUGCUAAUCAGCAGUGAAUUGACGGUACCUGCAAAGGAAGCCCCGGCUAACUACGUGCCAGCAGCCGCGGUAAUACGUAGGGGGCAAGCGUUAUCCGGAUUUACUGGGUGUAAAGGGGGCGCAGACGGCGAUGCAAGCCAGGAGUGAAAGCCCGGGGCCCAACCCCGGGACUGCUCUUGGAACUGCGUGGCUGGAGUGCAGGAGGGGCAGGCGGAAUUCCUGGUGUAGCGGUGAAAUCCGUAGAUAUCUGGAGGAACAUCAGUGGCGAAGGCGACUAUCUGGCACAUAACUGACGCUGAGGAGCGAAAGCGUGGGUAGCAAACAGGAUUAGAUACCCCAGUA